AGCAGCCGCGGUAAUUCCAGCUCCAAUAGCGUAUAUUAAAGUUGUUGCAGUUAAAAGCUCGUAGUUGAAUUUCGGGAUUAGCGCAUCGGUCGUGCCUCACGGGGUAUGAACUGGUGCAGUCAAUUUCUCACCUUCUGGAGAACCGCGAUGUCCUUAAUUGGAUGCCGCGGGGAACCAGGACCUUUACUUUGAAAAAUUAGAGUGUUUAAAGCAGGCUAUUUUUGCUUGAAUACAUUAGCAUGGAAUAAUAAAAUAGGACGGCAUGGUUCUAUUUUGUUGGUUUCUAGGACCACCGUAAUGAUUAAUAGGGAUAGUUGGGGGCAUUAGUAUUCAAUUGUCAGAGGUGAAAUUCUUGGAUUUAUUGAAGACUAACUACUGCGAAAGCAUUUUGCCAAGGAUGUUUUCAUUAAUCAAGAACGAAAGUUAGGGGAUCGAAGACGAUCAGAUACCGUCGUAGUCUUAACCAUAAACUAUGACCGACUAGGAAUCAAGACGAUGUUUAAUUUUUAAUGUACUUCGU
Molecule: unclassified non-coding RNA, 520 nt
Filed under: uncultured Entrophospora
Lineage: Eukaryota; Fungi; Glomeromycota; Glomeromycetes; Entrophosporales; Entrophosporaceae
Description: SSU rRNA
Rfam family: Eukaryotic small subunit ribosomal RNA
Source: RNAcentral